ACGCUCGACACCUACUGGAGGCAGCAGUGGGGAAUAUUGCACAAUGGGCGAAAGCCUGAUGCAGCAACGCCGCGUGAAGGAGGAAGGCCUUCGGGUCGUAAACUUCUGUCCUUGAGGAAGAAGAACUGACGGUACUCAAGGAGGAAGCCCCGGCUAACUACGUGCCAGCAGCCACGGUAAUCUGAGCGGGCUGGCAAGGC
RNAcentral lists this ribosomal RNA (200 nucleotides) under uncultured bacterium. RNAcentral's name for it is "partial 16S ribosomal RNA". It matches the Rfam family "Bacterial small subunit ribosomal RNA", at positions 328 to 539 of the family's 1533-position model. The record is from RNAcentral.